This 229-nucleotide ribosomal RNA is filed under the name uncultured bacterium. RNAcentral's name for it is "partial 16S ribosomal RNA". It matches the Rfam family "Bacterial small subunit ribosomal RNA", at positions 568 to 796 of the family's 1533-position model. The record is from RNAcentral.
UGCGCAGGCGGAAUAUUAAGUCAGUGGUGAAAUCCUACAGCUCAACUGUAGAACUGCCAUUGAUACUGAUAUUCUUGAGUAUAGUUGUAGUGGGCGGAAUAUGUCAUGUAGCGGUGAAAUGCUUAGAUAUGACAUAGAACACCGAUCGCGAAGGCAGCUCACUAAGCUAUAACUGACGCUCAGGCACGAAAGCGUGGGGAGCAAACAGGAUUAGAUACCCUGGUAGUCC